This 229-nucleotide ribosomal RNA is filed under the name uncultured bacterium. RNAcentral describes it as "partial 16S ribosomal RNA". It matches the Rfam family "Bacterial small subunit ribosomal RNA", at positions 119 to 334 of the family's 1533-position model. The record is from RNAcentral.
GGAUAAUCUACCCGACAGUCAGGGAUAACAUUUCGAAAGGAAUGCUAAUACCUGAUAAGCCUACGCCCUCUUCGGAGGAAGUAGGAAAAGGUGGGGACCUUCGGGCCUGCCGUUGUUGGAUGAGUCCGCGGCCCAUUAGCUAGUUGGUAGGGUAAUGGCCUACCAAGGCUACGAUGGGUAGCUGGUCUGAGAGGAUGAUCAGCCACACUGGAACUGAGACACGGUCCAG